Long non-coding RNA from Homo sapiens (human), 1448 nucleotides. RefSeq lists it as uncharacterized. The record is from RefSeq and is marked validated. NCBI's taxonomy places the organism in Eukaryota, Metazoa, Chordata, Mammalia, Primates, Hominidae. The transcript has a single exon.
AGCACAGAUUUAUUGAGGAUAAUUCACAGAGCGGGAGCCGGCUCGAGCAAGCAGUCAAGAGCCUCCUUAAUUAGGGUUUUUACUAAGCUCGAGGAACCUGGCAACACCCCUCCGUGCCCUUUAGAGGCCUCCAAUUGGCUACACCCCAUGAAGGAUUGGCCUGCGACCCGUCAGAGGCUGCAGUGGAGACCCAGCUUGCAGUCCAUCAGAGGCUGCAGUGGAGACCCAGCUUGCAGUCCAUCAGAGGCUGCAGUGGAGACCCAGCUUGCAGUCCAUCAGAGGCUGCAGUGGAGACCCAGCUUGCAGUCCAUCAGAGGCUGCAGUGGAGACCCAGCUUGCAGCCCAUCAGAGGCUGGAGUGGAGACCCAACUUGCAGCCCAUCAGAGGCUGCAGUGGAGACCCAGCUUGCAGUCCAUCAGAGGCUGGAGUGGAGACCCAGCUUGCAGGCCAUCAGAGGCUGCAGUGGAGACCCAGCUUGCAGUCCAUCAGAGGCUGCAGUGGAGACCCAGCUUGCAGUCCAUCAGAGGCUGCAGUGGAGACCCAGCUUGCAGUCCAUCAGAGGCUGCAGUGGAGACCCAGCUUGCAGCCCAUCAGAGGCUGGAGUGGAGACCCAACUUGCAGCCCAUCAGAGGCUGCAGUGGAGACCCAGCUUGCAGUCCAUCAGAGGCUGCAGUGGAGACCCAGCUUGCAGGCCAUCAGAGGCUGCAGUGGAGACCCAGCUUGCAGUCCAUCAGAGGCUGGAGUGGAGACCCAGCUUGCAGUCCAUCAGAGGCUGCAGUGGAGACCCAGCUUGUAGUCCAUCAGAGGCUGCAGUGGAGACCCAGCUUGCAGUCCAUCAGAGGCUGGAGUGGAGACCCAGCUUGCAGUCCAUCAGAGGCUGCAGUGGAGACCCAGCUUGCAGGCCAUCAGAGGCUGCAGUGGAGACCCAGCUUGCAGUCCAUCAGAGGCUGGAGUGGAGACCCAGCUUGCAGUCCAUCAGAGGCUGCAGUGGAGACCCAGCUUGCAGUCCAUCAGAGGCUGCAGUGGAGACCCAGCUUGCAGUCCAUCAGAGGCUGGAGUGGAGACCCAGCUUGCAGUCCAUCAGAGGCUGCAGUGGAGACCCAGCUUGCAGGCCAUCAGAGGCUGCAGUGGAGACCCAGCUUGCAGUCCAUCAGAGGCUGGAGUGGAGACCCAGCUUGCAGUCCAUCAGAGGCUGCAGUGGAGACCCAGCUUGCAGUCCAUCAGAGGCCAGAGUGGCUUGUUACCAUGGGCGGGAGGACGUGGCCUCUAUGCAGCCCCUACUGCUCUCCUAUUUAUACAAACUGGCGGCACCUGCUGUUCUUUUGCUUAUGUGAACUGGCUGCAUAUGCUGAACCCCCGUUUACUCUAACUCCCUGUUCUCCUGCCACAGUUUGUUGAGUGUGGAAUGCUUGGACCCCAGCUUGUAAAGUAACCUUUGUUUCUUUGGG